Molecule: long non-coding RNA, 754 nt
Filed under: Lathyrus oleraceus (garden pea)
Lineage: Eukaryota; Viridiplantae; Streptophyta; Magnoliopsida; Fabales; Fabaceae
Description: Pisum sativum (pea) long non-coding RNA (PSAT_LNC022421)
Source: RNAcentral
GGGUACCCAGGAAGCAAGAGGAAGGAAGACCAGGACCCCGUGGCUACACACCAACACCUUCAAGCCUACGACUGAUGCCCCUAAGGGUAAGUGGGUGAAGCUUGUCGAAAGAGGCGAACAAGGCCAUAAGAAGUGGACAAACUUUGAAGUACAGAGAGGUUCCUCGCUGGCAUACCACAAGGAAUCCCAAACCUCAAAACAACUAGCGUAUCGCUCCGAAAACUACAAAGGGAAGAACCUUAUGUCAAGGUCCCAGUGGAGGAGAGGGCAGAGGAGACGAAAGGCUGAAAGAGAGGCUGGAGAAAUGGCGAAGGCAGAAUCCGGUAGUAACGUACCCCUAAAAUAGGAGAGGAACAAAGAAAAUAAGCAUGUCGAAAGGAAGCUCUUUUCCUCUCAAAAGGAGAAAUCUGCAAAGAAGUCUGACUAAGCAGCAUCAGAAGACGAUAUGCUGACGAAUGAUUUUGACACAGAUUCAGAGCCAUCCUUGGAUAUCACGUGCAACAUGGUGUCUGUGUUGCCCAGGGAAUAUGACCAAGUUAUGGAAGUAGAGGAAACCUGAGGAUAUAACGAAUGCGGAAAUGGCCAGGCAUAUGCAAGUUUGUUACUACGUGAUGAAUGAUGGGUGCGUAGAAGAGCAAAAUGCCUUUUUGAAAGGCUCGAUUGAGGGAUGAAGAGCCAUUUGAAACCUCUGUUUAUUAGAGGCAAAGUGGAAAAUGUCAGAGUGAGUACAAACCUAAUGGAUGGUGGGGCAGUU